CUCCUGCAACUAUUAUGUAAAACUGAAACAAGAUAACUAUAUCUAAAUAAAAUUAUACAUGUCUGUGGUCUGAUGUAAAAACUUUAAAAUGACAUGGAUACAAAAUUAAAUGUAAAAAACAAAAUUAGCGAUGAAACCGUUGAAAAAGCUUCGGUCAUUAAGAGGACUGUCAAAAGAUAACUACAAUAAAACAUAACUAGAGGCUCUCAAGAGCCUGUGUCGCUCACCUGGAUUUACUGAUGCUUUGGAAAUCAUGUAAAAAUGUGAAAUAAGGUUUAAAUCUUACUUAAUAGCAUUUGAUAUUAGAUAUUUUAAUGAUAUCUAAGAUAAUGACAAAAAACUGCAAAAUUUCUGUAAAAUUACUAAAUCAGGGACAGCAACACAACAACGGGUUGUCAGAUUCUUCUGAAAAUUUCAGAGCAGAUAAAUUUAAACCUGAUGAACAAUUUGGCCAGCUGUCAGAUUUGCAUUAAAUGCUUAGUUUCAGAUAUAUAAACCAAAAACUACAUUUUACCCCUAUAUUCUAUUUUUACCACGUCAGCCAUGAUGAUUGGAAGGCUGGGUCAUAGGACAAAUUUUAUAACUAAAUACCCAAAAAUGAAUAUGGCUAAGUAUGGUUAAAUUUGUCUCAGGAGUUUCGGAGAAGAAGAUUUUUGUAAAAGAUUCGAAAAUUAACGAAAAAUUGUUAAAAAUUGACUUUAAAGGGCAAUAGCCCCUAAAAUGAUCCACUGACAAUUUUGAUCAUGACAUCAUAUUUUUAGAUCUCACUUUGCUGAACAUAACUGCUGUUUACAGUUUACCUCUAUCUAUAUCAUUAUAUAAGAUAAUAACCAAAAACUGCAAAAUGUCCGUACAAUUAACAAUUCUAGAGCAGCAGGCCAACACCAGGUUGUUAGACUUGUCUGAAAAUUUCCGUGCAGAUACAUCUUGAUCUGCUAUUCAGUUUCAUCUAUAUCAGAUUUACUGUAAAAGCUUUGGUUUCAGAGCAAUAUGCCAAAAUCUACGUUUUACCCCUAUAUUCUAUUUUUGCCAUGGUGGCCAUCUUGGUUGGUUGGCGGGGUCAUCGGACACAUUUUUAAACUAUACCCUAAUGAUGGUUGUUUUCAAGUUUGGAUAAAUUUGGCUCAGUGGUUUCACAGAAGAUUUUUGUAAAAGCUAACGACAAUGGACGCCAAGUGAAGAUAACAUCUCACUUGGCCCAAUGUGAGCUAAAAACAAGAAUGUGUCCAAAGUACACGGAUGCCCACCCACACUAUCAUUUUCUAUGUUCAGUGGACCUUGAAAUUAGGGUUAAAUCUCUAAUUUGGCAUUAAUAUUAGAAAGACCAUAUGAUAUCAAAGGGAAGAUGUGUACUGAGUGUCAAGUUGAUUGGACGUCAACUUCAUCAAAAGCUACCUUGACCAAAAACUUUAACCUGAAGCAGGACGGAGGGAAGGACGGACAAAUGGACGAAUGGACACACAGACCACAAAAACAAUGCCCCUUUAAUAUCGUAGGUUUGGGCAUAAAAAGAAUACUAAUAUACAAAUAUUAUGUCUAAAACUAAAAAACAAAGGACAUCUUACUACUGAAUGGGAAAGAACAU
Molecule: long non-coding RNA, 1585 nt
Filed under: Mytilus galloprovincialis (Mediterranean mussel)
Lineage: Eukaryota; Metazoa; Mollusca; Bivalvia; Mytilida; Mytilidae
Source: RNAcentral